RNAcentral lists this ribosomal RNA (440 nucleotides) under uncultured bacterium. Its description in RNAcentral is "partial 16S ribosomal RNA". It matches the Rfam family "Bacterial small subunit ribosomal RNA", at positions 338 to 795 of the family's 1533-position model. The record is from RNAcentral.
CCUACGGGUGGCAGCAGUGGGGAAUAUUGCACAAUGGGGGAAACACUGAUGCAGCGACGCCGCGUGAGUGAAGAAGUAAUUCGUUAUGUAAAGCUCUAUCAGCAGGGAAGAAAAUGACGGUACCUGAGUAAGCAGCUCCGUACAACUACGUGCCAGCAGCCGCGGUACUACGUAGGGGGCACGCGUUAUCCGGAUUUUCUGGGUGUAAAGGGAGCGUAGACGGCAGUGCGAGUAUGGAGUGAAAGGCGGGGGCUCAACCCGCGGACUGCUCUGGAAACUGUACGGCUGGAGUGCAGGAGAGGUAAGUGGAAUGCGUGGUGUAGCGGUGAAAUGCGUAGAUAUUAGGAGGAACACCAGUGGCGAAGGCGGCUUACGGGACUGUAACUGACGUUGAGGCUCGAAGGCGUGGGGAGCGAACAGGAUUAGAUACCCUGGUAGUC